This is a long non-coding RNA of Daphnia carinata, 1441 nucleotides long. RefSeq lists it as uncharacterized. The transcript has 6 exons. The record is from RefSeq and is a predicted model, not a curated record. NCBI's taxonomy places the organism in Eukaryota, Metazoa, Arthropoda, Branchiopoda, Diplostraca, Daphniidae.
AAUUUUUUUGCCUAUGCUAAACUUCAGACGAAGUCCGGCAGCGAAGGUGUGUUGUCACGUAUCUAAAACAUCUGAAGUUCUAGAAAAUGCUCCUGAGCAAUGUUGAUUUUUGUUUUGGUUCACUGCUGUUCCUGGAUGGACAAUGAACGAUCAUCUGAUUUGAUUGUUGAAGAAGCCAAAAAUAUUCUUUUUACAUAUAAUGCUGCCGUAGAACAAUUCAGGCAACGUGCAGCCCCAAAGACAAAACGAAUGCCAAUUUUGACAAUGAUGAAUCUUAGAUGUGCCUGGUGUAAGCAACAUGGUUCUUGCUGAUCUUGAACCCUAAAAUACCAGACAUGUUUUUCUUUAGUGGCGAUAUUCCAUCACUUGUGCAUCGCUACAUGGCCAUCGUCAGGCUCAAGCAUCCAAUGAAUAUGGGAACAAAUUGCUGUGAUCUUCAACUUCAACAAUUUUACCUCUUUAGCACUAGUAGGUAAGGAAAAUUUAAUUUGCAUUUUGUAAUUUUUUUGCCAGUGUUUGGCUGAGUGAACUUGCAGUAUUAUAAAGGUAUUCAAGAUAACUGAAAUGGUAGCCCCUAAAUCAGAAGAAUUUUAUCUGACAUCUUUCUUGCGUGAACCUGUUAAGAAAAAGCCUUGUUAUAUCAAAGGGCACCUAAAGAAGAAAUUGGCUUCAUUAACGAUUCAAACUCAUUGAUUCUAACAACAGCCUGGUUGCAAACUUUUACCCAUUUCGUUGCAAUAAAUGUAUUUCUGAUCCAGUCUUCAAAACCCACAAAUGCCAAGGUACACAUAUACUUCUAAAGUGAGACUGUUAAUCUGAAAAAAAAAAAACUUGCAAACCAGCUUGUUCCCUUUAUAAAAAGAGUUGCUUUAGUCAGGUGUCAUAUUGCCUUCUAUUGGUUCCCUUUGUGGGAAAUGUAUGUUGUGUGUGAAUAUAUGCAACCCUAACAGUCUUGGAGAUCACUUUUUUUUGUCAAGAAAAUACUGGAAAUUGGUAUUGAGAAGGUCAUUAACAGAAAGUUUUUGUAUUUUAUCAGUUUAUUCCUACAUUUAACAUGGUUCUUUAGAAAUGCCAUGGAAUAAAAAAGCACUUGACAAAAAACAUUUUUAUUGUUCUCGUACCUGUAUUAGAUGGAAAUUACUUGUGCAAUGGUACCAACCCAUUCAUGAAAACAAUGUAUUCAACCAUGGAAUGUUGACCAGCUAUCUGCAGAGUGAAAAUCUACUUGACAGCAUUCAACCUCUUAAGUACAUUUUACAAAAGAUUCUGAGAAUGGCAAAAAUUAUGAACAAAUUUUGUAUUGGAGAAAUUCUAGGUAAAUGAAAGCCAUUUCACGAUACAGCUGAAUAGCUGUGAAACGCAACCAAUCGAGGAACUGAGUUUCUUGAACAACCAAACUUAUCUUGAAGAGCUGCAGAAAAAGAAUGGAACAUUACGCUGC